Molecule: ribosomal RNA, 1433 nt
Filed under: uncultured organism
Description: SSU rRNA
Rfam family: Bacterial small subunit ribosomal RNA
Source: RNAcentral
UGCUACAGGCUUAACACAUGCAAGUCGAGGGGCAGCAUGGUCUUAGCUUGCUAAGACUGAUGGCGACCGGCGCACGGGUGAGUAACACGUAUCCAACCUGCCGUCUACUCUUGGACAGCCUUCUGAAAGGAAGAUUAAUACAAGAUGGCAUCAUGAGUCCGCAUGUUCACAUGAUUAAAGGUAUUCCGGUAGACGAUGGGGAUGCGUUCCAUUAGAUAGUAGGCGGGGUAACGGCCCACCUAGUCUUCCAUGGAUAGGGGUUCUGAAAGGAAGGUCCCCCACAUUGGAACUGAGACACGGUCCAAACUCCUACGGGAGGCAGCAGUGAGGAAUAUUGGUCAAUGGGCGAGAGCCUGAACCAGCCAAGUAGCGUGAAGGAUGACUGCCCUAUGGGUUGUAAACUUCUUUUAUAAAGGAAUAAAGUCGGGUAUGCAUACCCGUUUGCAUGUACUUUAUGAAUAAGGAUCGGCUAACUCCGUGCCAGCAGCCGCGGUAAUACGGAGGAUCCGAGCGUUAUCCGGAUUUAUUGGGUUUAAAGGGAGCGUAGAUGGAUGUUUAAGUCAGUUGUGAAAGUUUGCGGCUCAACCGUAAAAUUGCAGUUGAUACUGGAUAUCUUGAGUGCAGUUGAGGCAGGCGGAAUUCGUGGUGUAGCGGUGAAAUGCUUAGAUAUCACGAAGAACUCCGAUUGCGAAGGCAGCCUGCUAAGCUGCAACUGACAUUGAGGCUCGAAAGUGUGGGUAUCAAACAGGAUUAGAUACCGUGGUAGUCCACACGGUAAACGAUGAAUACUCGCUGUUUGCGAUAUACAGCAAGCGGCCAAGCGAAAGCGUUAAGUAUUCCACGUGGGGAGUACGCCGGCAACGGUGAAACUCAAAGGAAUUGACGGGGGCCCGCACAAGCGGAGGAACAUGUGGUUUAAUUCGAUGAUACGCGAGGAACCUUACCCGGGCUUAAAUUGCAGAUGAAUUACGGUGAAAGCCGUAAGCCGCAAGGCAUCUGUGAAGGUGCUGCAUGGUUGUCGUCAGCUCGCGCCGUGAGGUGUCGGCUUAAGUGCCAUAACGAGCGCAACCCUUGUUGUCAGUUACUAACAGGUUCCGCUGAGGACUCUGACAAGACUGCCAUCGUAAGAUGUGAGGAAGGUGGGGAUGACGUCAAAUCAGCACGGCCCUUACGUCCGGGGCUACACACGUGUUACAAUGGGGGGUACAGAGGGCCGCUACCACGCGAGUGGAUGCCAAUCCCAAAAACCUCUCUCAGUUCGGACUGGAGUCUGCAACCCGACUCCACGAAGCUGGAUUCGCUAGUAAUCGCGCAUCAGCCACGGCGCGGUGAAUACGUUCCCGGGCCUUGUACACACCGCCCGUCAAGCCAUGGGAGCCGGGGGCACCUGAAGUGCGUAACCACGAGGAGCGCCCUAGGGUAAAACUGGUGAC